RNAcentral lists this ribosomal RNA (253 nucleotides) under uncultured bacterium. RNAcentral describes it as "partial 16S ribosomal RNA". It matches the Rfam family "Bacterial small subunit ribosomal RNA", at positions 524 to 776 of the family's 1533-position model. The record is from RNAcentral.
UACGGAGGGAGCUAGCGUUGUUCGGAAUUACUGGGCGUAAAGCGCACGUAGGCGGCUUUUUAAGUCAGGGGUGAAAUCCCGGGGCUCAACCCCGGAACUGCCUUUGAAACUGGAGAGCUAGAAUCUUGGAGAGGCGAGUGGAAUUCCGAGUGUAGAGGUGAAAUUCGUAGAUAUUCGGAAGAACACCAGUGGCGAAGGCGACUUACUGGACACAUAUUGACGCUGAGGUGCGAAAGCGUGGGGAGCAAACAGG